Molecule: long non-coding RNA, 528 nt
Organism: Triticum urartu
Lineage: Eukaryota; Viridiplantae; Streptophyta; Magnoliopsida; Poales; Poaceae
Source: RefSeq, a predicted model, not a curated record
GGCGUGGUUACAGCCUAUGGACAGGGUAGGCGUAUAUGUUUGGUACUGCUGGUGGUCAUGUACCGCGGCUGGACCGGGUCCAUUCAUUUGCUCCGGCACAUACCACUCGACGUCUCUCUCAUCUGCGUGUGGUCGUCGGCGACCACGCUCCACUUUCAGCCGUGGCCAGGAGACCGGAUGCAGCCCCACCCUGUCACGACUCCUCGACCGAAGCAACGGCUGGAACGCUUGUCUUCUUCCACUCCGGCGGUCAAACCGCAAUAGAUCUGGCCCGGAAGAACAACCAAGAGGAGCACGAUCUGCGGGCGAGGCGAAGCAUCUUUUUCCACUCCGACGGGGAGAGCACCUGCAGCCAUCGUUCCUCCAGAUUUGAUCUGCAAUUUCGGGGAUGGAUCAGUGCGUAUGAUGAAGCUGUGAUGUAUCUAUUGAUGAAUCAAAUUCUCGUAGUUAUUAUGUGAUGUCUUGGAUAAUUGAUUUGUGCUUAAACACGGGAACAAUGUAUUAAAAAUGUACAUUUUCUGAUGGAUC